GACGAUUUUACUUGUUAGUGGCAGAGUACUGUCAGUAAAUGCGUUAACAAACACGUCUGACAUUGGUCUCUUAUUGACCCAUUAACAGGCAAUGCACCCUGCUUUUAUAGUAUUCUUUAGUAACUCUUCAGAAUUUGCUCAGUCAAUGUAAGUAAAAUACAUCUUGUAUUGAAGCGCUUUCAUGUACAAAGUUUCGUUUGAAUACAGCACAGAGUAGGAAUAUUUAUUUUGAAUUUUUCAAAAUAUCGGGUUUUUACUCGCACGCACGUUUAUAGCUCGAUUGAUGCACGUGCAAAUCAUGCCGAC
Non-coding RNA from Paramuricea clavata, 306 nucleotides. The record is from the annotation of a GenBank genome assembly. NCBI's taxonomy places the organism in Eukaryota, Metazoa, Cnidaria, Anthozoa, Malacalcyonacea, Plexauridae.